UUGGACGUGGUGCUUAUGGACAUGGUUUAGUGGGUGACAUCGGAGGUAGGGUGAUGGUUGGACCAGAUGAUCUUGGAGGUCUUGUCCAACCCUAAUGAUUCUGUGAUUCAAUGGGAGUAGAGACUGUACUUUCCAUUAGCUUUAUGUAUGGGGCUUAGAUAUGAAGGAAGACUCUAUGUUUUGGUUAGUUCUUUUGCAUAUUAAAAAAGAAUGCUUGAAAAUGUCAAAUAAUUAUUGGAACAUAGUUUUAUUUGAAUUUGCAGGGGGCAUUCAGUCUGUAGAAGCUGGGGUACUGUGGGGGUUUUCAUGGCAGUGGAAGCGAAGGAGAACAGAAAAAGCAUAAAGUCUGCAAGAUCCAAGGAACAGAGUAGUGAGCUCCAGGCCUCACUUCUUACCGAAGAUGUUCACAAUCAAAAGUAUUGUUAACUUCUUCAGGAGCAUCACUUUCUACAUAUUGGGCUUUAGGAUCUUUCAUUUAAAUCACACUCAUGUGAGUUUGUCUGUCUUUCCAUCCUUGACAAGCAGCACAGUAGACUGGCAGUAAAUUUCCAUCUGUAGCCUCCAGAAGUUUUUAGUUGAAUGGUGAUAAAAUUAACAUUUUCCUUUGGUCAUCAACACAGCUUUUGGCAUGGAGGUUGCCAAGACAUACUUAUGUGUGAAUCAGUGAUGCCAGCACAAUCUUGGGACUUUGAACUUUGUCAUUUCAACAACUGCUGUCAAGUGACAGAAUGUGUGCAUAUGUACAUGUAUGUAUAAACACACAUGUGUAUAUGCAUAUACCGUUUCUCAAGAUCCUCUAAGGAAUUGUGCACCAAUAGUGUAGUGCACUUUUAAAAAUAUUUUUCUUUUUUUUUUUGACUGUAUUCAUUUUCCAAAUCAGGUUAAGGUUAUUUGAGAGUGAGAAAAACUUUCAUCUUCCCUGCUACAUGCAAUUCCUCCCACACCUCUCAUUUUUUUUAAAGACAAAAAAUAAAAAUAAAAAUGGCAUUGUAAGUUGCAAAUCUCAAUUAUUGUUGCAUAAAGAUGAAGCCUUUUUU
This is a long non-coding RNA of Cygnus olor (mute swan), 1037 nucleotides long. RefSeq lists it as uncharacterized. The record is from RefSeq and is a predicted model, not a curated record. NCBI's taxonomy places the organism in Eukaryota, Metazoa, Chordata, Aves, Anseriformes, Anatidae. The transcript has 2 exons.